Long non-coding RNA from Xenia sp. Carnegie-2017, 89 nucleotides. RefSeq lists it as uncharacterized. NCBI's taxonomy places the organism in Eukaryota, Metazoa, Cnidaria, Anthozoa, Malacalcyonacea, Xeniidae. The record is from RefSeq and is a predicted model, not a curated record. The transcript has 3 exons.
CUAAACGCUCAGCAAAGUAAUUGAACGUUGAACUUUAAUCAUAACAUUUGUAAAAAGUCGUUGAAAAGCAACAUGUACUCGCGUUGAUA